GAUGAAGAACGCAGCGAAAUGCGAUAAGUAGUGUGAAUUGCAGAAUUCAGUGAAUCAUCGAAUCUUUGAACGCGCAUUGCGCCCCUUGGUAUUCCAUGGGGCAUGCCUGUUCGAGCGUCAUUUGUACCUUCAAGCUUUGCUUGGUGUUGGGUGUUUGUCCUGAGGGACUCGCCUUAAAGUAAUUGGCAGCCAGUGUUUGGUUUUGAAGCGCAGCACAAGUCGCGAUUCAAGGCUAUACACCAGCUUCCACAAGCCUUUUUCACUUUUGACCUCGGAUCAGGUAGGGAUACCCGCUGAACUUAAGCAUAUCAAUAAGCGGAGGA
RNAcentral lists this unclassified non-coding RNA (323 nucleotides) under soil metagenome. RNAcentral's name for it is "partial contains 5.8S ribosomal RNA, internal transcribed spacer 2, and large subunit ribosomal RNA". The stretch from base 1 to 120 matches the Rfam family "5.8S ribosomal RNA", at positions 35 to 154 of the family's 154-position model. The record is from RNAcentral.